GACGUAGGGCGCGAGCGUUGUCCGGAUUUAUUGGGCGUAAAGAGCUCGUAGGCGGCUCGGUGCGUCGGCUGUGAAAACCCGCAGCUCAACUGUGGGCUUGCAGCUGAUACGGGCGGGCUGGGAUUCGGUAGGGGAGACUGGAAUUCCUGGUGUAGCGGUGAAAUGCGCAGAUAUCAGGAGGAACACCGGUGGCGAAGGCGGGUCUAUGGGCCGAUAUCGA
This 220-nucleotide ribosomal RNA is filed under the name uncultured bacterium. Its description in RNAcentral is "partial 16S ribosomal RNA". It matches the Rfam family "Bacterial small subunit ribosomal RNA", at positions 524 to 743 of the family's 1533-position model. The record is from RNAcentral.